AUUGAACGCUGGCGGCAUGCCUUACACAUGCAAGUCGAGCGGCAGCGCGGGGGCAACCCUGGCGGCGAGCGGCGAACGGGUGAGUAAUGCAUCGGAACGUGUCCUCUUGUGGGGGAUAACCGGUCGAAAGACUGGCUAAUACCGCAUGAGCUCGAGAGAGGAAAGCGGGGGAUCCGCGAGGACCUCGCGCGAGAGGAGCGGCCGAUGUCCGAUUAGCUAGUUGGUAGGGUAACGGCCUACCAAGGCGACGAUCGGUAGCUGGUCUGAGAGGACGGCCAGCCACACUGGGACUGAGACACGGCCCAGACUCCUACGGGAGGCAGCAGUGGGGAAUUUUGGACAAUGGGCGC
RNAcentral lists this ribosomal RNA (350 nucleotides) under uncultured bacterium. Its description in RNAcentral is "bacterial SSU rRNA". It matches the Rfam family "Bacterial small subunit ribosomal RNA", at positions 28 to 378 of the family's 1533-position model. The record is from RNAcentral.